Molecule: long non-coding RNA, 378 nt
Filed under: Coturnix japonica (Japanese quail)
Lineage: Eukaryota; Metazoa; Chordata; Aves; Galliformes; Phasianidae
Description: lncRNA (ENSCJPG00005013835.1)
Source: RNAcentral
UAAAGGAACAAGCAAGGAAGACCACGAGUUCCCAGCCCUGCAGAUGGGAACCUGCAACCCUCCCUCUGGCUGAGAUCCCUUCUCUAGAUGUGAGCUGAGGAAGGAACUUCAGUUGACCACAGAACCGAACAACUCCGUUUUCUUUAUUUUAUGGCAGAGAACCCAUGUGGAUGAAACCUUACCAGUUAUGAUGAGAAAAAUUCACUCUGAAAUAUUGUGCAUUAUAUUUCUGGUCCACAUACAGUGAUACAACCCUACUGAGAGAAGGUAUAUUGAGUCACCUCAUUCUUAUUUCUUACUUUUAAAAGCUAUUUAACUUAAGCAUCUGUACAAAUAGUGGGGAAUAAAGCCCUCCUUUGAAACCCCUUUAGUGGUUUU